UACGAAGGGUGCAAGCGUUAAUCGGAAUUACUGGGCGUAAAGCGUGCGUAGGCGGUUUGUUAAGUCUGUUGUGAAAUCCCCGGGCUCAACCUGGGAAUGGCAAUGGAUACUGGCAAGCUAGAGUGUGUCAGAGGAUGGUGGAAUUCCCGGUGUAGCGGUGAAAUGCGUAGAGAUCGGGAGGAACACCAGUGGCGAAGGCGGCGACCUGGGCCAAUAUUGACGCUGAGGUGCGAAAGCGUGGGGAGCAAACAGG
This 253-nucleotide ribosomal RNA is filed under the name uncultured bacterium. RNAcentral's name for it is "partial 16S ribosomal RNA". It matches the Rfam family "Bacterial small subunit ribosomal RNA", at positions 524 to 776 of the family's 1533-position model. The record is from RNAcentral.